GACGAACGCUGGCGGCAUGCUUAACACAUGCAAGUCGAACGACGUGGCGAACGGGUGAGUAACACGUAAUCAACCUGCCCUUCAGAGGGGGGCAACAGUUGGAAACGACUGCUAAUACAGCAAACUGAGGGAGGGGAUUGCGUCUGAUUAGCUAGUUGGCGGGGUAACGGCCCAGCAAGGCGAUGAUCAGUAGCCGGUCUGGGAGGAUGAACGGCCACAUUGAGACUGAGACAUGGCCCAGACUCCUACGGUAGGCAGCAGUGGGGAUGCUUCCGCAAUGGACGAGAGUCUGACGGAGAAACGCCGCGUGAGUGAUGACGGCCUUCGGGUUGUAGAGCUCUGUUAAUCGGGACGCGGUACCGGAAUAGAAAGCCACGGCUAACUACGUGCCAGCAGACGCGGUAAUAC
Molecule: ribosomal RNA, 408 nt
Filed under: uncultured bacterium
Lineage: Bacteria
Description: partial 16S ribosomal RNA
Rfam family: Bacterial small subunit ribosomal RNA
Source: RNAcentral